GAUGAACGCUGGCGGCGUGCUUAACACAUGCAAGUCGAACGGAAAGGCCCUGCUUUUGUGGGGUGCUCGAUUGGCGAACGGGUGAGUAACACGUGAGUAACAUCUACUUGACUUUGGGAUAACUUCAGGAAACUGGGGCUCUUACCGGAUAGGAGCUCCUGCUGCAUGGUGGGGGUUGGUAAGUUUCGGCGGUUGGGGAUGGACUCGCGGCUUCUUAGCUUGUUGGUGGGGUAGUGGCUUACCAAGGGUUUGAUGGGUAGCCGACCUGAGAGGGUGACCGGCCACACUGGAACGGAGACACGGUCCAGACUCCUACGGGAGGAAGCAGUAGGGAAUCUUCCGCAAUGGGCGAAAGCCUGACGGAGCAACGCCGCGUGAGUGAUGAAGGUCUUCGGAUCGUAAAACUCUGUUAUUAGGGAAGAAAAAAUGUGUAAGUAACUAUGCACGUCUUGACGGUACCUAAUCAGAAAGCCACGGCUAACUACGUG
Molecule: ribosomal RNA, 488 nt
Filed under: uncultured bacterium
Lineage: Bacteria
Description: partial 16S ribosomal RNA
Rfam family: Bacterial small subunit ribosomal RNA
Source: RNAcentral